UAGGUCAGGGCGCUCGGGUGGCGCAGCAGCUUGCGCCAGCCGUGGCCGGUGAUGUUGGCGCAGUAAUGCGGCGCGAUGCCGGCCUUCCAC
RNAcentral lists this non-coding RNA (90 nucleotides) under Heterosigma akashiwo. Lineage: Eukaryota; Raphidophyceae; Chattonellales; Chattonellaceae. The record is from RNAcentral.